Molecule: transfer RNA, 77 nt
Filed under: Chloroflexota bacterium
Lineage: Bacteria; Bacillati; Chloroflexota
Also listed under: 1 other name
Description: Chloroflexi bacterium (marine sediment metagenome) tRNA-Ile
Rfam family: tRNA
About the family: Transfer RNA (tRNA) molecules are approximately 80 nucleotides in length. Their secondary structure includes four short double-helical elements and three loops (D, anti-codon, and T loops).
Source: RNAcentral
GGGCGAUUAGCUCAGGCGGUCAGAGCACAGUCCUGAUAAGACUGGGGUCCGUGGUUCGAGUCCACGAUCGCCCACCA